Non-coding RNA from Trametes coccinea BRFM310, 93 nucleotides. The record is from the annotation of a GenBank genome assembly. NCBI's taxonomy places the organism in Eukaryota, Fungi, Basidiomycota, Agaricomycetes, Polyporales, Polyporaceae.
GGCGAUAUGGCCGAGCGGUCUAAGGCGCCAGAAUCAGGACAUCCGUGUCUCAUCUGGUCCGAAAGGGCGUGGGUUCGAAUCCCACUGUCGUCA